CCGGCGCACGGUCGAUAGCGCGUGCUGGCGCGGCCAUGUUGCACGAGGCGCGCACGUGCACGCCCCGCGCGGAGCACUGACUCUUUGUGACACUCGGUGCCCUGUUUGUACAUGUGUCCAUCAGUGUUAAGGUUUCUACAAUAAUGCAGCAAUCAAAUGGAUUCUAGCUUAGGCGAGUUUGCCGCCGAUUCAUGUCUUGCGCUCCAUCCAAACGCUAUGCUAAUCAAAAGACGUAAG
Molecule: long non-coding RNA, 237 nt
Organism: Pieris napi
Lineage: Eukaryota; Metazoa; Arthropoda; Insecta; Lepidoptera; Pieridae
Exons: 3
Source: RefSeq, a predicted model, not a curated record